This 447-nucleotide ribosomal RNA is filed under the name uncultured bacterium. RNAcentral describes it as "partial 16S ribosomal RNA". It matches the Rfam family "Bacterial small subunit ribosomal RNA", at positions 29 to 523 of the family's 1533-position model. The record is from RNAcentral.
AACGAACGCUGGCGGCAGGCUUAACACAUGCAAGUCGAGCGCCCCGCAAGGGGAGCGGCAGACGGGUGAGUAACGCGUGGGAAUCUACCCAGCUCUACGGAACAACUCCGGGAAACUGGAGCUAAUACCGUAUACGUCCUUCGGGAGAAAGAUUUAUCGGAGUUGGAUGAGCCCGCGUUGGAUUAGCUAGUUGGUGGGGUAAUGGCCUACCAAGGCGACGAUCCAUAGCUGGUCUGAGAGGAUGAUCAGCCACACUUGGACUGAGACACGGCCCAGAAUCCGACGGGAGGCAGCAGUGGGGAAUAUUGGACAAUGGGCGAAAGCCUGAUCCAGCCAUGCCGCGUGAGGGAUGAAGGCCCUAGGGUUGUAAAGCUCUUUCACCGGUGAAGAUAAUGACGGUAACCGGAGAAGAAGCCCCGGCUAACUUCGUGCCAGCCGCCGCCGUAA